GAUGGCAUGGUGGCGCGCGCCUGUAGUCCCAGCUACUCAAGAGGCUGAGGUGGGAGGAUCACUUGAGUCCUGGAGUUCUGGGCUGCAGUGCGCUAUGCUGAUUGGGUGUCCACACUAAGUUCGGUAUCAAUAUGGUGACCUCCGGGGAGCGGGGGACCACCAGGUUGCCUAAGGAGGGGUGAACCCGCCCAGGUUGGAAACAGAGAAGGUCAAAACUCCGUAGGGGGAUCACGCCUGUGAAUAGCCACUGCACUCCAGCCUGGGCAAUAUAGUGAGACCCUGUCUCUU
Molecule: non-coding RNA, 288 nt
Organism: Cavia porcellus (domestic guinea pig)
Lineage: Eukaryota; Metazoa; Chordata; Mammalia; Rodentia; Caviidae
Rfam family: Metazoan signal recognition particle RNA
About the family: The signal recognition particle (SRP) is a universally conserved ribonucleoprotein. It is involved in the co-translational targeting of proteins to membranes.
Source: Rfam